UGGCUCAGUUGGUAGAGCGUGAUGUUUGCAACGCCAGGGUUGUGGGUUCGAUUCCCAC
This is a non-coding RNA of Salmo salar (Atlantic salmon), 58 nucleotides long. Lineage: Eukaryota; Metazoa; Chordata; Actinopteri; Salmoniformes; Salmonidae. The record is from Rfam.